Cynoglossus semilaevis (tongue sole) is the source of this 1261-nucleotide long non-coding RNA. RefSeq lists it as uncharacterized. NCBI's taxonomy places the organism in Eukaryota, Metazoa, Chordata, Actinopteri, Pleuronectiformes, Cynoglossidae. The record is from RefSeq and is a predicted model, not a curated record. The transcript is spliced from 3 exons.
AGCGAUAUGAAGAUAAUUUCAACUUUUUUUAUAUAGUGGCACAAUAACCUGUUACGAGGGGUAGGAGGGGAAAAGGAAAAAAGAGGGGGGAAAAGGCAAAUUAGAGCUUGAAUUCUCAUUUAUUGUGAUGUGUAAUGUAUCAUGAAUCCAUAUACUAGUUUAAUGUGUGUUGUUUAGGUCACGGGGUUCAUUUCAUGCAAAUUAAAAAUGUAUAGUUUUCUCCUGAAACCUUUCACGUUAAUAAUUACAUUUACGUCAUUUCCUCUAGGUUACGCAUGCGUAGCAAGAGCCUAUAAAUAAUACCGGAAACCUGCGCUCUUCCUUUUCAAACAAACAUUUGGUUGUCGUCGUGUGUGUGUACGCGCGCGCUUGUUACGAGGGCUAAGCUAACUUGACACGAACAAACGUUUUACGUUUAAACGACUUAAUGAAGCAGUUUUAUUAGGUCUGCUCCACUAGGUCGUUUUUUAAUGGUAAGAAUUAGACUUUGAAGAUGAUUUCUGUUAGUGCACGUAAUUGUUUGUUCAGUCUGCUUUUCGUUCGGGUUAAAUGUACUGGACUGAUAACACAACAUUGUUACUUUUUUGGUUGUGUCGACAAUUAUGUAUUUUAUUUACGUCAUUUUCUCUUGAUAGUUUGCGCGUGCAUAGCAAGAGGCGGCAUUUAAAUUAAACCGGAAAUAUUGCUCUCGUUUAUCAAACAUUUAGUCGCCCUCGAGUGUGUAUGUUUGUGUUAAUAUGUGACACAGUGAUGUGUUCUGCUAAUCUGCAGGUUCUUCCAAGCUGUGGACGUGUGAGGUGUUUGGCCUUCCACCGUGACGGCAUGCAGAGACCAACACAAGUUUUUUUUAUUCCAGCUCAUUGUUGUCAGUCAUUGUGCCUUGUAUGCUAUUGUCAUUGUCUUAACAAAUAGUGCAGUGGAGAAGAGUUGUGAACACAGCAGCUUGGACUCUGCCAGAGUGGAUCUUGCAUUUUGUAGUGCAUAGUAACGAUGACACAUGCAGCAGACCGGUGGACUCCAUGACGCCAAGAAGUCCGAAGCAUCUGGAUUCUGUUUUAUUGUCACAGGAAGUCGGAGCCCAUGACCAAAGAAUAGCCUGUGAGGAGGUUGCAGGAACGCUGCCAUCUAAGUGGAAAAGGAAGCAGAAGAAAGAGGUUUAACCAAGUUGCUGCACUCCUGAUGAUGGGGCCAUGGUUGAAUCCUGUGAGCACGUAAUGUAACAUGUAUUUGUAAAUGUUUUGGUAAUAAAAGGCUAACGUUA